This is a small nuclear RNA of Cynocephalus volans (Philippine flying lemur), 105 nucleotides long. Lineage: Eukaryota; Metazoa; Chordata; Mammalia; Dermoptera; Cynocephalidae. The record is from RefSeq and is a predicted model, not a curated record.
GCUCGCUUCAGAACAGCACAUACUAAAACUGGAAUGAUACAGAGAAGAUUAGCAUGGUCCCUGAGCAAAGAUGACAUGCACAUUCGUGAAGCGUUCCAUACUAAA